CUCUGUUCUAGAAUUUCGUCCCUCGCUCUUUUCAAAUUCCCACCCAAAUUCCAGACCCUUGGUUGGUUUACAGGGAUGCUGGCUACUUAAAUAGGCCACAAGCAUAUUUCAGAGGACACAGGGGCUCACAAUUGAUGCUUUUAGGUGCUGACAGGCUCCGGCAGCUGCUAUGCCAGGCACUUGUUGCUAGGCAACAAGUUCUGUAAUAUCUUCAUAAGUUCUGAAGAGUUUAAAAGACCUGCAGGAACAGGCCUGUUCUCCUGUGCUAUCACAAUGCCCAUCAACAUUAGGGCAGGUGUGCAAUACUUGCCACGGCGGACUUAGCAAAAUGAGGCCACAAGAGACUUAAGAGUAGAACAAACAGAAUUUGGAACGUUUACUGCUGUUGAAUCCAAAUAGCUACCGCCGUCAGGUUUCAGUUCCAUGCUUGGUGUUCAUUCACACAAUAAACAAUCACGUGGAGGAAGAGAGUGAGGCAUGUUCAGGGUUUGAAACCGUUCAGGGGUCUGUCAGGGACACCACAGCCGAGUUGUGCAGACCAGCUCUCCUACUCCAUUCUGUGACUGAACAAAGGAACCCAACAAAGGAACAAAGGAAGAUGAGACAGAUCAUUGGUCCAUACAGCUCACAGUAUUGUCUACACUGACUGGCAACAGCUCUCUCCAGGAUUUCAAAAUGGAGUCUUGCUCAGGUCAGCCUUCCUGGAGAUGUUGGGGUUUGUGGGUUGUAUCCCAUGCUAGUCAUACUCAGAGCAGAGCCAGUGAUACUAAUGGGCAAGGCAAACUUGUACAGUGGUACCUUGGGUUACAAACGCCUCAGGUUACUAACACUUCAGGUUACUAACACUUCGGGUUACAGACUCUGCUAACCAGGAAGUAGUACCUCGGGUUAAGAACUUUACCUCAGGAUGAGAACAGAAAUCGCACGGCAGCAGCAGGAGGCCCCAUUAGCUAAAGUGGUACCUCAGGUUAAGAACAGUUACAGGUUAAGAACGGACCUCCGGAACAAAUUAAGUUCAUAACCAGAGGUACCACUGUACUCAGAAAGUGUGCACCAAAAGAUCACACCAUUUUUGGAUACAAAGAUUUCCUCAGGGAUGCUUCCAAAGGCCUGUUUCCAAAAUUGUUCCCCAUUCCAUAGAUGAUUUGGAGGCAUGUAGUAUCACUAAAGUACUAUUGCUGAUAUUUUAUUUUCUCUUUGAGCAUAGUGUCAUAGGUAGGCAGGGCGUUGGACUAGAUGACCCUUGAGGUCCCUUACAACUUUACAACUUUACAAUUCUAUAAUUCUAUGAUUCUAUUAUAUUAAUGGUAGAUUGUUCCUGUUUGUUAGAAACAGAAGCAUUAUGAGAAACAGCAAUAUUAUUGAUCUUUUCCAUCCUGCGCUACUAUACUUCUUGACCUUCUGACUUCUUACAAUUUAUUUACAGCUUAAUUUGAACCACAAAUUGAAACAAAAAUAUUGCCUAUGGCAUUCAGGCAGCGUUUCCAGCUGGUUUUGUAGACCCAGAUGGUUCAGAUGAGAAUCCAUAUGUCCGAGUGUUAAUUCGGACUGGACAGACUAUCUCUGAGGCUCUCAGGGCUCAUCAGCCAUUAAAAAAAACAACAUGCCACUAAUGUUCAAUUAGUUCAAUCACACUAUAGAUUUGCCAAGUCAAAGUUUAAAAAUAUGGGGCACUCCAGAUAUCUGGCAUUUAUUCUAGUCAAUACAGCAAUAUAGUGCUCUGAAUUAAGGGACACCAAUAAUGUUGUACAGAGCUGACAUAUUUUGAAGAAAAGGGCAAUAAUAAGGUAUCAUUUAAAAUAAAGGAAAUCUUCCAUUAAUCUCUUAGAAGACCUUUGUUUCCCCCCUUACAUGGCUCCAUAUGUUCAUGGAGCAUAGCAUUCUAUCCUUUUCAGGCUAUCACUCAAGUCCCACCAUUAUGGCUGUUGUGCAUUUUCUUCACUAUGAUUCCUUAAUUCCCGUGUGUGUGUGUGUGUGUGUGUGUGUGUGUGUGUGUGUGUGUAGGGGGGGAUGUUUCAAAAUCCAGCUGCUGCCAUUUCAUUAUUUGGUAAAGUUUUUAUUGGCAUAUGUGGAUUUCAAGCAAUAUUUUAGGAGAGAAAAUGUCUUAUGUAACUAAAAUAGCUAAAAAGGGAAACAGAUUUUAUUAUUAAUACUGAAUUUUUUGGAGCAUGAAACAAAUGAAAGCCAUCAUGCAUGACUCACCACGAGCUACUGUACAUACCUUUUAUUCAUUGCUGCCUAAACAUUAUGUGACUGAUUGCAGAUAGUAAAGGGUUUCAAAAGAGACAAAAUCCUAAAAAGAAUGUAAUGUAGCAUUUGACCUCUAUUUAAACGGGUUGUGUAUAUUGUCCUGGAUGUUCAAGAUAAAGGAUUCAGCCUAGAACAACAUGAAACUGAUAUAUCCUAUUCCAAUAAAGAGUUACAAACCAUCACACCUCAAAUACUCAUAAGCCUAUAGAUUAAUGAGGCCUCUGCACAGUGAAUCGUCUUCCUUCAGUCGUGAGUAAAUUGUUCUAUUCCUCAUAAAACUGUUUAGCAGAUUCUGCUGGCCAUUCCCAACUCCAUCAUGCUUCCUUCCACCCAUUUCAUCUUUAAUGAUUUUUAUGUAGACAGAUUCAAAUGCAACUAAGAUACAAAGUAAAUGACAAAUAACCAAAUAGUUCAGGCAUUUCGCUGAGAACACUUAUCAAAAGAGUACAUCAGGUUCAAGAGCUUUGACGUCUCCACUUAUGAGUCAUGCUUAUAUAAAUGAGUAUUAUUUAUUUAGACCAGAAUUUAUAUCCCAUCUUUCUAAGCAAAAUAGCAACUGAAAGUGACAUACUUAGGUACUGGUGGGAGGAGGUACUGGUACUGGGAGGAGGUACAAGGAAAUAAACAACUAUCUGACUUUUAGAAGACAUCUGAAGGCAGCCCUGUUUAGGGAAGUUUUUAAUGUUUGAUGUUUUAUCGCUUUUUUAUUAUUAAUAAUAUUCUGUUGGGAGAGUGGCUAGGGAAACCCAGCCAGAUGGGCAGAAUAUAAAUCUGUUGUUGUUGUUGUUGUUGUUGUUGUUGUUGUUGUUGUUAGAUAAUACCUUAAGGACUACCUGAAGCCUUUUGUCCAAGCUGGUUGUGAUUAUGUUGUGAAACGCCCAGCGAUUUUCAGAUGAAGUGUGGCAUACAAAUUUAAUUAAUUAAUUAAUUAAUAAUUGUACUUCAUGUUACAAAAGUGUGACAGGCUUCAACUAGAAAUUGGUCAGUUGGUGCCGCCAAUAAUAGCUCCUUGAUGUAGAAUGUUCUUCCAGCAGAAAUUUUGCAGUCUUUAAAAUGCAGGCUUUUUUCUCUUGUUCCCCACAGUAAAAGCAGGGGUUGAGGAUGAAGAAGCGAAUGAUGCCCUGAUAGCAUCCAAGGGAACUGCAGUCUGACGACACUCUCAAAUUUUUAUUAUAUAGUAAGAUAUACCACCUUGAGAUUUUAUAUGAGUUGGCAGUAUAUAAAAAAUAUAAAUGGAGCACCUCCAGACAGAUGUCCUUAUUCCUGAUCAUCAUAUAUCUAAGCUUUAAAGACAGAGAAGCUGAGGAGCGUAGAAGUAGAGAGGUUUGAUUAGAAGCUGUUAAGACUAGAUGAAAAUAGUGGAUCAUCUAAAAAAACAAAUGCUGACCUCUGAGUGAUUACUGAGUCUUGAGGUGCAUUUUGCCCCUUGAAAGGUCCACAGACAUCAUUUUUCCUCAUGACUAAAAGCAGGAAGCUGCUAAUUCAAUCCCCUCGAGAGGAAGCCUUGCAGGUAACUAAAGACCAAAGUUGUGCGGGGCUUUAUAAUUAACGCCAACACCUUGGAUCAUGGCACAGUACUAAUUAGCAACUGAUCCAGCUGCACGUUUGGGAUCUGUGAAUGCAUGGGAUUCAGUUCUGUGUAACAAUAUUUGUUUUCCAGAUGCUCUUUAACAAUAUCAUGUGCAACUGAUAAUAUCUGAAGGGCAGUUUAAUUUUGAAAAAUGAAGAAGUAGCUACUCCACUCCACGGGGGGGGGGGGGGAAUGAGAAGGCCCGCCCCUUGGAGACUUAGGAAUCUGAGGAAUUCCUGAAUGUUCUAUGGGAUUUUUCUAGCUUACAUGGCUGGCACUCCUAUCAACGCUUUCAACUUGCUAUGGAAUUCUGAGAUGAUGAUGAUGAUGAUUUAUUAAAUUUGUAUAUCGCCAUCCAUCUCUAGAUCUCAGUCAAAUUACAAUAUAAAAACUACAAAACAAGAAAAUAAAAAUAAAAACAACAACAACAACAACAACAACAAACCAAUAGUCCCCCCCCCCAACACAUUGAAAAGGGUAUUGGAUGCCAAUUAGCCAAAGUCCUGGCUGAUGCAAAAGGUAAAAAAAAAGUAAAGGACCCCUGGAUGGUUAAAUCCAGUCAAAGGCGACUAUAGGAUGCGGCACUUAUCUCACUUCAGGCCGAAGGAGCUGGCACUUGUCCACAGACAGCUUUCAGGGUCAUGUGGCCAGCAUAACUAAACCACUUCUGGCACAAUGGGACACUGUGACGAGUGCCAGAGUGCACAAAAACGCCAUUUACCUUCCUGCCACAGUGGUACCUAUUUAUCUACUUGCACUGGUAUGCUUUUGAACUGCUAGGUUGGCAGAAGCUGGGACAGAGCAACGGAAGGGCACCCCGUCGCGCGGAUUCGAACCACCGACCUUCCAAUCAGCAAGCCCAAGAGGAUCAGUGGUUUAGACCACAGCGCCACCUUUACCUGCAUAGAGCUAAUUGACAGAAUUGGUCCUCAGUGCCUUCAUCGUCGCUGUGGAGCACACAGUCAUCUUGGUACUCUUGUGAACUGUGUAUGAUGAAACAGGAGAAUCAGAUGCUAGAGUGCAAGUAUUGUAAAUCUUUAUCCAAACCUGACUAAACAUGGGUGAAGUUGCAUUGCUGCGGUGGUGGCAGCAAAUAAAGUUUACUUCUCCACUACCAUUAGAGCUGAAAAUAGACAUCUGGCCAAGCUUUUCCAAGUGGUGAAUGGGCUUUUGUCACCUGGCCAAGAGUUCAUUGCUUUAACAUCCUCAAAAGCCUACUGCAACUAUUUUGUGGAGCACUUUAGGGACAAAAUUACUCUGAUUUGUAUAGAGUUGGAUGCCACAAUUAGACCAAGUUCAAUGCAAGUGUCCAGAGCACUGUCCCAUCCAUAUUGGACCAUUUUCAAUUAUUGCAGCCUGUGAAUGUGGACAACCAGCUUCAAGAAAUGCAGCCAACCACCUGCCCACCUUGAUGCUCGCCCAUCCUGACUUCUUGGAGCUAGCCAUAGGGGGUCAACAAUAUGAGUCCAGGAAGUAAUUGAUGCUUCACUGGAGGAGGGCAAAGUACCACCUGCCUUGAAGGAGGUGUGUCUACUCCUUAAGAGGACUUCCCUGGACCCAGAAGGGUUAAACGACUAUUCCCCAGUGAGGAAUAUCCCCUUGUGCAUGAUAGAGUAGUGAC
Podarcis lilfordi (Lilford's wall lizard) is the source of this 5441-nucleotide non-coding RNA. NCBI's taxonomy places the organism in Eukaryota, Metazoa, Chordata, Lepidosauria, Squamata, Lacertidae. The record is from the annotation of a GenBank genome assembly.